CAACAGGGAGUUAAAGCCCGAAAUUACUGGGGUUAUUGGAGAAACUCUCUUAUGGUUCUGCUGUCUCCUUAGUAGGAGCUAGAAAAACAGAACUAUCUGGAAGGGAGCCAAGGUCAAUGACGUCUUGGUGGAAAGGGCAGUAACAGGAAGCCAGCAUCAAGGCUAAGCGCCUCUCCUGGGGGUGAGUUCUCCUGUGCGAAGAGUUGCAUGGGGAGGGGUGGGAGACUGUCCACCUCGGGGCUCCACCGUUGAGGGUCUCUGGCUUGCAGUCCACCAGUUUCUGGGCUGGUGGAACGAGAGCAGGAUGGUGGGAAGCUGGGAGGUGCUUCACUGAAGUUACAUCUCAGAGGCAAGGAGAAGGGGAAGUGCCACCAUCUGCAGCUGCACUGCUCGCAGCCUCAUAGGAGGGUCAGGAGCCGUGACUCCCAAGGGAAGAGUGAAAACAAUUGGUGUGGAUAGAGCUCAGUUGUAAACAUUAGUCAGAAUGAACACAGUGGGUCUUUUCUGCCCCGUCUCCUGGUUACCGAGCCGCUGUAAACCCACAGGCUCAGCGCAGCUGGCUCCAGCUCCAGAGCCGGGCAAGUGACCUGAACCUGACCGAUUCCAGCAUGACUUCUUUUGGGCCAUUGUGGUUGGUUCAGGGGUGACUCGACUGGUCAGAUGGGAUUUGGUUUCUGAUCUUUUGUUUGAACUGUGGGGCAAUAGAAUCUCUCUUUUCACUGGACUCAUGGCUGGGAGAAUAUGAGCCUGGAACUUCUGGAAGCUUUUAAGUACAGGGAGGAACUCUCCCCAAGGCUAACCCAGCAAAAUGUAGUGUUGAGAGAAGGACAGAGGUCACAUCCUGAUGCUAUUGUGUGUAAGUUCCUGGAUCAAACCAUACCUGAAGGUUGAUUGAAUUUUUCAGUGAUUUAAGAGUCCUGAUUGAUACACUCGUUCUCCAAAAUACAUACAUGGCUCUCUGAACAGUAGUGAUGGGGGAUAUCUCUCCACCAGAAUGCAUUUUCACUCUCCUCACUUCCUCUCCAUUCACAAUGGGUUGCUUAUUCUGCAGCAGCAUAUGGGCUGGGCUCCUGGCAUAAAAAAGGAAUAUGACCUGGGUUUUAUCUUCAGAGUCAUGAUCUAGAAAGAGGGACAAAGAUAACUAGAGUAGCUCAUUGUAAGUUGUGCUGAGAUAAAAAUUAACUGUCAUAGGGACUAACUGGAGAAAGGAAGCCUGGAUCUCAGAGGGGCAGGGGUGUUAAUUAAGGCUGUGGAGAGGAUGUAAUACUCAUUAAUUUCAAUGGCUUAUUUAUUUAUUUAGCUGCACCAAGUCUUAGCUGUGUCAUGUGGGGUCUAGUUCCCUGACCUGCGUUGGGAGCAUGGCAUCUUGGGCACUGACCCACCAGGGAAGUCCCUGAAUAGGUAUCGACUGAGCAUCUGCUACAUGUUAUAUAUAUGUGUGUGUUAUACAUACAUGUGCUCAGUGCUGGGAAUACACAAGCAGGUAUUUAUAAACAGAUACAGUCCCUGACCUCGAGGAGCUGAUAGUGUAGUGGAAACAGGGUGACUCGACUUCCCAGAAUAAGGUAUGAGGGUAGGAGGAUCAUGGACCUAUGAGAACAAAUAACCAAAGAACUUUGGGAUUUAGGGGAGGCUUCUCCACAGAGGAAACACUUGCGCGUGUAGUCGAAGGAGGAGCAGGAAGAAACUAAGAUCCAGUGGAAUGGACCCUUGGUAGAAGGGGAGACGUCCUCGCAGCUUCCGUGGCGCGAAGGAGUGAAAUAACCAAACAAGCAGACAAAGCAUUUGGCUGUCUCACUGAGAGGUUAGGACCCAUGAUUCUUAACUCCAGGGCUUUCUCACUCACGAUUUAUUUUUUCUCCGGGCAAGAAUACUGGAGUGGGUUGCCAUGCCCUCCUCUAGGGUCUUCCCAACCCAGGGAUCGAAGGCAGGUCUCCCCCAUUGCAGGUGGAUUCUUUACCAUCUGAGCUACAAGGGAAGCCCAAGAAUACUGGAGUGGGUAGCCUAUGCCUUCUCCAGGGGAUCUUCCUGACCCAGAAAUCAAACCGGGGUCUCCUGCAUUGCAGGCAGAUUCUUUACCAGUUGAGCUACCAGGGAAGCCACAUGUUAAUACUUUAUUAUGAAAAAAUUGCCAAAUAAUAUUCCCUUGUAUGGCUAUACCACAUUUCACUUGAUGGGUAUGUGGGUUGUUUCCUGUUUUUGGUCGUUAUGAAUAAUGCCUGUAUGAACAUUUGUGUAUGUGUUUUUGUGUGGAAAUAUAGUUUCAUUUCUGCUGGGUGCAUGCUGAGGAGUGGAAUUGCUGGGUCAUAUGGUAACUCUAGGCCUUCUCCGGUCACUCAGCCAUAAGGAAUCCAUCUGCAAUGCAGGAGACACAGGUUCAGUCCUUGGGUUGGGAAGAUCUCCUGGAGAAGGGAAUGGUAACUCACUCUGGUAUUCUUGCCCGGAGAAUCCCAGAGGAGCCUGGUGGGCCACAGUCCACAGAGUCGCAAAGUCAGACACAACUGAAGUGACUUAGCACGCAUGCACAUGCUAACUCUAUGGUUAACAUUGUGAGGAUCUGCCAGAGAGCUUUCCAAAGUGGCUGCAUUAUUUUACACUCCCACCAGCAGCGCGUGAGGUUUCAAUUUCUCCACAUCCUUGCCAACACUUGCUAUCAUCUCCCCUUUUGAUUACAGCCCUCCUUGUGAGUGUGAAAUGGUAUCUCAUAGCGGUUUUGCUUUGCAUUUUCUUGAUGGAUAAUGAGGUUGAUUAUCUUUUCCCGUGCUUAUUGGUCAUUUCUAUAUCUUCUUUGGAAAAAUGCCUGUGA
This is a long non-coding RNA of Bos taurus (domestic cattle), 2806 nucleotides long. NCBI's taxonomy places the organism in Eukaryota, Metazoa, Chordata, Mammalia, Artiodactyla, Bovidae. The record is from Ensembl.